This 253-nucleotide ribosomal RNA is filed under the name uncultured bacterium. RNAcentral's name for it is "partial 16S ribosomal RNA". It matches the Rfam family "Bacterial small subunit ribosomal RNA", at positions 524 to 776 of the family's 1533-position model. The record is from RNAcentral.
UACGUAGGUGGCAAGCGUUGUCCGGAUUUACUGGGCGUAAAGGAUGCGUAGGCGGACAUUUAAGUCAGAUGUGAAAUACCCGAGCUUAACUUGGGUGCUGCAUUUGAAACUGGGUGUCUAGAGUGCAGGAGAGGUAAGUGGAAUUCCUAGUGUAGCGGUGAAAUGCGUAGAUAUCUGGAGGAACACCCGUGGUGCAGACGGCUUGCUGGACCAUGACUGACGCUGAGGCACGAAAGCGUGGGUAGCAAACAGG